RNAcentral lists this ribosomal RNA (231 nucleotides) under uncultured bacterium. RNAcentral describes it as "partial 16S ribosomal RNA". It matches the Rfam family "Bacterial small subunit ribosomal RNA", at positions 334 to 563 of the family's 1533-position model. The record is from RNAcentral.
GGUGCAUACGGGCGCAGCAGUGAGGAAUAUUGGUCAAUGGUCGGGAGACUGAACCAGCCAAGCCGCGUGAGGGAGGAAGUUACAGAGUAUCGUAAACCUCUUUUGUCAGGGAACAAAGGCGGGGACGUGUCCCCGGAUGAGUGUACCUGAAGAAAAAGCAUCGGCUAACUCCGUGCCAGCAGCCGCGGUAAUACGGAGGAUUCAAGCGUUAUCCGGAUUUAUUGGGUUUAA